CACGGUAAACGAUGGAUGCCCGCUGUUUGCGAUAUACUGUGAGCGGCCAAGAGAAAUCGUUAAGCAUCCCACCUGGGGAGUACGCCGGCAACGGUGAAACUCAAAGGAAUUGACGGGGGCCCGCACAAGCGGAGGAACAUGUGGUUUAAUUCGAUGAUACGCGAGGAACCUUACCCGGGCUUGAACUGCAGCGGAAGGAUACAGAGAUGUUGACGCCCUUCGGGGCCGCUGUGGAGGUGCUGCAUGGUUGUCGUCAGCUCGUGCCGUGAGGUGUCGGCUUAAGUGCCAUAACGAGCGCAACCCUUUUCUUUAGUUGCCAUCAGGUAAUGCUGGGCACUCUGGAGAUACUGCCACCGUAAGGUGUGAGGAAGGUGGGGAUGACGUCAAAUCAGCACGGCCCUUACGUCCGGGGCUACACACGUGUUACAAUGGGAGGUACAGAGAGUUGGUUGUACGCAAGUGCGAUCUAAUCCUAAAAGCCUUCCUCAGUUCGGACUGGGGUCUGCAACCCGACC
This 515-nucleotide ribosomal RNA is filed under the name uncultured bacterium. Its description in RNAcentral is "bacterial SSU rRNA". It matches the Rfam family "Bacterial small subunit ribosomal RNA", at positions 798 to 1317 of the family's 1533-position model. The record is from RNAcentral.